This 245-nucleotide ribosomal RNA is filed under the name uncultured Eubacteriales bacterium. Its description in RNAcentral is "uncultured Clostridiales bacterium partial 16S ribosomal RNA". It matches the Rfam family "Bacterial small subunit ribosomal RNA", at positions 524 to 768 of the family's 1533-position model. The record is from RNAcentral. Lineage: Bacteria; Bacillati; Bacillota; Clostridia; Eubacteriales.
CACGUAGGGGGCGAGCGUUGUCCGGAAUUACUGGGCGUAAAGCGCGCGUAGGCGGGCACUUAAGUCAGAUGUGAAACCUCUGGGCUCAACCGAGAGCAUGCAUCUGAUACUGGGUGUCUUGAGUGUAGAAGAGGAGAGUGGAAUUCCUAGUGUAGCGGUGAAAUGCGUAGAUAUUAGGAAGAACACCAGUGGCGAAGGCGACUCUCUGGUCUACAACUGACGCUGAGGCGCGAAAGCGUGGGGAG